AUGUUCUCUGUGUCUCUAGUGCUGCUACUGGCAGCCACAUCCUAUGUCCACUCUGAUGAGCUGAUUCAGCCUGACUUUCAGACUGUCCAUCCAGGUCAGCAAAUGACCAUCAACUGUAAGGUCUCAUAUUCAGUCACUGACUACGCUACAGCUUGGAUUCGACAAUCAGCUGGAAAAGCUCCAGAGUAUAUUGGAUUUAUCAACAGUGGUGGGAGCUUAGACUACAAAGAGUCUCUGAAAAACAAGUUCAGCAUCUCAAGAGACACCAGCAGUAAAACAAUAACAUUACAAGGGAAUAAUCUACAGACUGAAGACACAGCUGUGUAUUACUGUGCCCGUUACACACAGUAUUAUGAACUAGCAGCUAUCCCAUGCAAACACAUCUAUGUAGGCACACUCCCAGCUCUCGGCUUUAUUUUCUUGGUUAUGUUUGCCGUGGUAGUGGCGCAAUCGCUUUUGUUUGUAGCUUCACCUGCCUCGCCGUAG
Non-coding RNA from Chanos chanos (milkfish), 486 nucleotides. The record is from the annotation of a RefSeq genome assembly. NCBI's taxonomy places the organism in Eukaryota, Metazoa, Chordata, Actinopteri, Gonorynchiformes, Chanidae.